CGUUCUGUAAGCCUGCGAAGGUGUGCUGUGAGGCAUGCUGGAGGUAUCAGAAGUGCGAAUGCUGACAUAAGUAACGAUAAAGCGGGUGAAAAGCCCGCUCGCCGGAAGACCAAGGGUUCCUGUCCAACGUUAAUCGGGGCAGGGUGAGUCGACCCCUAAGGCGAGGCCGAAAGGCGUAGUCGAUGGGAAACAGGUUAAUAUUCCUGUACUUGGUGUUACUGCGAAGGGGGGACGGAGAAGGCUAUGUUGGCCGGGCGACGGUUGUCCCGGUUUAAGCGUGUAGGCUGGUUUUCCAGGCAAAUCCGGAAAAUCAAGGCUGAGGCGUGAUGACGAGGCACUACGGUGCUGAAGCAACAAAUGCCCUGCUUCCAGGAAAAGCCUCUAAGCAUCAGGUAACAUCAAAUCGUACCCCAAACCGACACAGGUGGUCAGGUAGAGAAUACCAAGGCGCUUGAGAGAACUCG
Molecule: ribosomal RNA, 464 nt
Filed under: Escherichia coli
Lineage: Bacteria; Pseudomonadati; Pseudomonadota; Gammaproteobacteria; Enterobacterales; Enterobacteriaceae
Description: partial 23S ribosomal RNA
Rfam family: Bacterial large subunit ribosomal RNA
Source: RNAcentral